RNAcentral lists this ribosomal RNA (497 nucleotides) under uncultured bacterium. RNAcentral's name for it is "partial 16S ribosomal RNA". It matches the Rfam family "Bacterial small subunit ribosomal RNA", at positions 28 to 507 of the family's 1533-position model. The record is from RNAcentral.
GAUGAACGCUGGCGGCGUGCCUAAUACAUGCAAGUCGAGCGAACGGACGAGAAGCUUGCUUCUCUGAUGUUAGCGGCGGACGGGUGAGUAACACGUGGAUAACCUACCUAUAAGGCUGGGAUAACUUCGGGAAACCGGAGCUAAUACCGGAUAAUAUUUUGAACCGCAUGGUUCAAAAGUGAAAGACGGUCUUGCUGUCACUUAUAGAUGGAUCCGCGCUGCAUUAGCUAGUUGGUAAGGUAACGGCUUACCAAGGCAACGAUGCAUAGCCGACCUGAGAGGGAGAUCGGCCACACUGGAACUGAGACACGGUCCAGACUCCUACGGGAGGCAGCAGUAGGGAAUCUUCCGCAAUGGGCGAAAGCCUGACGGAGCAACGCCGCGUGAGUGAUGAAGGUCUUCGGAUCGUAAAACUCUGUUAUUAGGGAAGAACAUAUGUGUAAGUAACUGUGCACAUCUUGACGGUACCUAAUCAGAAAGCCACGGCUAACUACGUG